This 562-nucleotide long non-coding RNA is filed under the name Capra hircus (goat). RNAcentral's name for it is "lncRNA (ENSCHIG00000003836.1)". Lineage: Eukaryota; Metazoa; Chordata; Mammalia; Artiodactyla; Bovidae. The record is from RNAcentral.
GUGUGUCUGUGUGUCGCUGUGUGUCUGUGUUUGUGUGUCCUGUGUGUGUCGCUGUGUGUCUGUGUGUAAUUGUGUGUCGCUGGUGUGUGUCGCUGUGUGUCUGUGUGUAAUUGUGUGUCGCUGUGUGUCGCUGUGUGUCUGUGUGUAAUUGUGUGUGUCGCUGUGUGUGUCGCUGUGUGUCUGUGUGUCACUGUGGUGGCUGUGUGUAGCUGUGUGUCUGUGUGUCACUGUGUGUCUGUAUAAUUGUGUGUUGUAGCUGUGUGUGUGUGUGUCACUGUGUGGCUUGUGUGUCGCUGUGUCUGUGUGUCGCUGUGUGUCUGUGUGUCACUGUGUGGCUGUGUGUAGCUGUGUGUCUGUGUGUAAUUGUGUGUCGCUGUGUGUGUCGCUGUGGUGUCUGUGUGUGUGUCAUGUGUACUGUGUGUGGUGUGUGUCGCUGUGUCUGUGUCACUGUGUGUCUGUAUAAUUGUGUGUGUAGCUGUGUGUGUGUGUCACUGUGUGUCUGUAUAAUUGUGUGUGUAGCUGUGUGUGUGUGUGUCACUGUGUGGCUGUGUGUCGCUGUGUC